This 81-nucleotide transfer RNA is filed under the name Paragonimus heterotremus. It matches the Rfam family "tRNA". From Rfam's summary of the family: Transfer RNA (tRNA) molecules are approximately 80 nucleotides in length. Lineage: Eukaryota; Metazoa; Platyhelminthes; Trematoda; Plagiorchiida; Troglotrematidae. The record is from Rfam by way of RNAcentral.
GGCUUCGUAGCUCAGCUGGUAGAGUGCUUACCACGUUGAGGCAUGGUGUUUCUAUACCUGGUUCGAAUCCAGCCGAAGCUU